This 964-nucleotide long non-coding RNA is filed under the name Rattus norvegicus (Norway rat). Its description in RNAcentral is "long non-coding RNA NONRATT017621". Lineage: Eukaryota; Metazoa; Chordata; Mammalia; Rodentia; Muridae. The record is from RNAcentral.
AGACAUUUCUACUGGUACCUCACGAAUGAGGGCAUCCAGUACCUCCGAGAUUACCUGCACCUACCUCCGGAGAUCGUGCCCGCCACCCUGCGCCGCAGCCGUCCCGAGACUGGCAGGCCUCGGCCCAAAGGUCCAGAGGGUGAGCGGCCUGCAAGAUUCACAAGAGGGGAGGCAGACAGAGACACCUACAGAAGGAGCGCUGUGCCCCGUGAGUAUCUCCUCCUCUCUGCGUGGGGCUGAACUCAGCUUCUAAGCUAGCCCUGGGUGGAGUGCGGUCCUUGUGCCAAGGUGGCCAGGAGGUCCUUGGUGUGGGACUGAAGGCCUGUAAGCCGGAACACGGCCUAUUGAUAGAGCUGAGCUAACAUCCCUUGGGAGAGCGGGAGCCCAUGCUCUCUGCCGUCCCUGUGGACUCUAGCUUUUGACAAUGCUUGCCUUGAGCCUGCUGUGCGCCAGGCACCUGUGGGGAGCCGAGAACAAGAACAGCCCUGUGAUGCUCUUGUCACUGAGCUUGUAUUUUGUACCCACUGGGGAGGACACUGCAGUUUUCAGGUGCCUUAGAGAAGCAGGCUCACAGAAGUGAGGGUUAGGUGAACACCUAGAAGACCCAGCGGGGCUCUCCAGAGAGACACGGGGAAACCUGGGCUGUGGGGUGGGUGUGCACCAAGCCGUCCUUUUCUGCACUCUGCUUGGAGGUGAACACAGGGCCUAUGGUGUGAAGGAGACAGAGUGGUCUCCAGUUCUGUUGGCCCUGGCUCACCCACUGAUACAAACUGAAUCUGAGUGUAAGCCUACAUCGAGGGAGGUGUUGUUUGGCUGCUGAUGCAUUGCAUUUAGCCCUGAAGUGUUUGAACAUCUCACCUCAUUUCCUUCACUCUUUGACCUCUCACGAUGCUUUCUUAUUCCCGCCUGCGCCAAGCCUUGUGGUUUGGGUCUCGGUGGUCAGAGCAGCUUUUCUGGAGGAGGG